RNAcentral lists this ribosomal RNA (443 nucleotides) under uncultured bacterium. Its description in RNAcentral is "partial 16S ribosomal RNA". It matches the Rfam family "Bacterial small subunit ribosomal RNA", at positions 338 to 795 of the family's 1533-position model. The record is from RNAcentral.
CCUACGGGCGGCAGCAGUGGGGAAUAUUGGGCAAUGGGCGCAAGCCUGACCCAGCAACGCCGCGUGAAGGAAGAAGGCUUUCGGGUUGUAAACUUCUUUUAUCAGGGACGAAGCAAGUGACGGUACCUGAUGAAUAAGCCACGGCUAACUACGUGACCGCAGCCGCGGUAAUACGGAGGUGGCAAGCGUUAUCCGGAUUUACUGGUUGUAAGGGGCGUGUAGGCGGGAGUGCAAGUCAGAUGUGAAAACUAUGGGCUCAACCCAUAGCCUGCAUUUGAAACUGUACUGCUUGAGUGCUGGAGAGGCAAUCGGAAUUCCGGGUGUAGCGGUGAAAUGCGUAGAUAUACGGAGGAACACCAGUGGCGAAGGCGGAUUGCUGGACAGUAACUGACGCUGAGGCGCGAAAGCGUGGGGAGCAAACAGGAUUAGAUACCCCGGUAGUC